UUCCCUUAACCCAACAGCACACACACACACGAAGAGGAGGGUGAGAGGAACAGAGAAGACACAGCGCAGAAAGGAGAAGGAGACCGCCCAGCUCGUCGCCAUCGCGCCGCUCAGGGCCACCGCCUCGCCAUAGCCUCCCUCAUCUCAUUGUCAUCGCCUAGCUGCCCGCCAUCAUCAUCGCUGGUGCUAACGCAGAACGGGAGGAGAGAGCAUGCGCGUGGGGAAAGAGAAGAAGCCACUACCCUGCGUCUGUCGUCAUCUUCGUGGGUUAGUGUCACCGCCGUCGUCCAUGGGUGACAUCGAAGAGAGAGUUCGUAACGAGAGAAGAGGCAUGCUGUCGUUUGGAGACGCGAGUCCAUUUGCCGUCACCGUAGCGAAUGGCGUCGCCAUUGCUGUCACGUCUAGCUGCUGCUGCCACAUGGCCCUUCGCCACUGCUGGAGGUGAGUUACCGGAGCCCUCUGCCACCAGAAACCAAAAUCCGAGCUACCCAGGAAACCACCAGUAGAACCACUGCUCUUUUGGCCGCUGCCCAGCCACCGUCAAGCCAGGUCCGCCGUCGCCGUUGUGACGUGCCGAGAGGGAGGCAGCCUGCGGAUAGGAAGAGAGACGUGAUGGGCCUGUCCUGAGCUGCUUCUUUCUUGUUUCUCGUUGCGGGCUGAGUUCGAGUUAUUGCAUGUCGCAGUUAGAGCUGUUGUUGCUGUUACGAGUAGUUGGAGCUGAGGCUGCCUCUGCCGCCAGGAACACUCUGCCGGUGAGGGUUUUAAAUUUGUGAUUUCUGUCAUUUUGGGUUUCGAGAAGGUUUUGAUGCUGGGUGGUUAUUAUAGCUGAUCCACUGGAGCUUCUGGCUACUACCAGAGCUGUUGCUGGGUCGGUUCAGAAUCGCAGCUGUCUCAUUGUGUUAUUUUGAGUCGUAGUGGUUGUUGAGAACGCAAGUGGAGCUGAGGUUUUGGUUGCAGUCGAUUCGGGUCAAGACGAAAGGAGUCAGUUGACGAUUUUGGGUUGUGGUUUCGACGAGUCGAGGUAGGAACUUUUUAUACAAAUUAAUUUAUUUUAAAUUGAAAAUUGUUAUAAAUAGAUAUGCUGUGCAAAACGUAUUUCUGGGGAUUAUAUGAGUCUAAUGAAUUGUCUGAUUUUGUCUUGAAUGAAUAUGGUUGCCUGUUUAAUUGGGAUAAUGUCUGCUUUGAUAAAUUGGAGAUUUCUGGAUUUGGUUGAUUGAAAUGAUUUUUGAUAAUCUAAAGUUUGCGUUUUUUUUUUUUGGAAACUGAUAUGAUCUUGAACUUGUUGGAAAGAGUUGAGGAUUGGUUUGGUUGGGAUGCGGAUAGGGUGGCAAAGCCCAAGUUUUAGGGGAAAUGCUGCUAAAAUUUCUAUAAAAUCUGAGACUUUAUUUGACACGGUAUUUUAAAAAGGGAAUGGGUUAUGCCUUAAAACUGUAUUACCAAUAAAUGAAUUAAUUUUGAACCCCUUUAUUAAGAAAAUUAUUAUAUUUUGAAGGUGAACUAUUUUAGAAGAGAACCAUGUUCUAAAGUCGAUUUAAAGAUGAAAAUAAUUAAGUUUGGAAUUUGAUCAAAUAAGCAAAUUUGUAGGAGUUUUAAUGAAGUUCGAUUAACUAAUUUCACUUUACAACAUUUUAAGAAAAGGUUGAAGUAUUUUCUAAAACUUUGAUUUAGUGAAACUAAAACACUUUCCGAGCCUUUGGGAACCAAUUUAAGAAUGAAACAAAAAAUUGGUGUUUGGUUUAAAUGUUAUAAUUGCUAUUGAUUGUGUUUGAACUACAUUAAUUGUAAUUGUGUUUGAUUGGUUGGUUUGUGAUGAAUUGGUUGAUGAUUGAGUUGUUUGGGCUGGGGGCCGUGUUGGAUUGGAUGGGAUUGAGGCCGUGAUUGGUAUAUUGAGUUCUACUUCUGUAUAAAGUAUCUGACCGGUUCAGCAUAGAUUUAAUGAAUCUAUGCUUGGAACGGGAUGAUCAUUUAUACCGCAUAGGUAGCUGCUUUCAUGGUUGCGGUCUAGAAAAGUAUGAAAAAUCAAACUCUUACAGCAUAGACUUAACUGAAGCUAUGUUUGGGACAUGUUGGUCAUUCAUACUGUCUAGGAAAAACUUUUCAGAUUUUACAAGAAAAGAAAAAGGUUUUGUUUAAACAUAUUUGUUAAAUUUAUCCAGUCUUCAAAAAGGGAUUUUCUGGAUUUCGAAUGUGUACCUAAGGUUUUUCGGAAGACUCAUAAGACGAGCGAUGAUCACUGUACUCUAAGAAUAAUUUUAUUUUACGUAUCUUGUUAUAGCAAUUUCUGUAAAUCCUAUAGUGAGAACAAGCGAGGACGACGUUCUCACUCUCCUACAGGUUAUUCCUUUUUAGGACAUAGACGACGAAGCUUCAGAAGAGUUAUGUCCAUUUUCUGUUUAUUCAGCAUUUUUGUAUUAUCUUAGCUAUUAUUUUUUCCUCGCCUUUAUCUUUAUUAAGUUUGUAAGAGGGAUAGAAAAUUAUGAUAUGUAUGUUUGUAAGCUAGUGUUAUAUAUAUAUCUUAAGGUAUUGUAUCUGGUUUCUAUGUACAUGUAUGUUUAUGUUUUUAACGAA
Molecule: long non-coding RNA, 2568 nt
Organism: Arachis stenosperma
Lineage: Eukaryota; Viridiplantae; Streptophyta; Magnoliopsida; Fabales; Fabaceae
Exons: 4
Source: RefSeq, a predicted model, not a curated record